GCCGGGCAUGGUACUGCAUGCCUGUAGUCCCAGCUACCUGGGAGACUAACGCAGGAAAAUUGCUUGAGUCCAGGAGUUUGAGGCCACAGUGAACUAUGAACAUGCCAUUGCACUCUAGCCUGGGCAAUAGGCAAUAGAGUGAGACCCUAUCUCAAAAAAAACAAAAAGUUCACCAUCAAUAUGUUGACCUCCCAGAAGCAGGAGACCACUAGGUUGCCUAAGGAGAGGUGAAUCGGCCCAGGUCAGAAAAAGAGCAGGCCAAAAAUCCCAUGCUGAUGUGUAGUGGGCUACCACUCGUGAAGCCACUGUGCUCUACCCUGGGCAAUAUAACAGGACAUCAUUU
Molecule: unclassified non-coding RNA, 343 nt
Organism: Rhinopithecus bieti (black snub-nosed monkey)
Lineage: Eukaryota; Metazoa; Chordata; Mammalia; Primates; Cercopithecidae
Rfam family: Metazoan signal recognition particle RNA
About the family: The signal recognition particle (SRP) is a universally conserved ribonucleoprotein. It is involved in the co-translational targeting of proteins to membranes.
Source: Ensembl